AUGAACCCAUAACAUCAAAGUGCACGAAUUUGAAGAUUUAAACAAGUUGGAAAAACCGAAUUCUGUUAUUUUUCACCAAAUGUCAGAGGCUAUAAAUCUUUGGUCGAUCUCGAGUUUUGUUUUUUAAAAGUUGUUAUAGGUAGCCUGAUAUGUGGUCUUUAAUCUCCAAAAGGAAUAAAGUUCAUAGCUAUUGUAGAUCGGGAUUUAUAAGCGGUCAAAGUGGGUUGACCGGCAUUGACCGGCUGUUCUUCAAACCCAGAAAAUAUUCUAAGUGUCCAGAAAUAUUUUUUUGGCAAAUGUCAGGCCUUAUAUCUCGGUCAUAUUUAAUGUGUUUUGUGUUCUAAAGGUUGAUAUGUGUAUCUUGUUAUGUGUUAUGUAACCUCCAAAAAGAAUCAGGUCCAUAUAUAUUACGGAUUAAGAGUUAUUUAAGGUCAAAGUGGGUUGACCGGCAUUGACCAGAAAAUUCUAUGUGUUGUUUUUUUUGAUAAGGUUUGACCAUACUUUAGAUGCUUGAUUUAUUGUUUUUAUGAUGAUGUUAAGUGUUAUAGUUGUAGUCCUACAUGUUGUCUACGCACUGGAAUUGAUAGAUCACAUAAAAGUUACACGAUCAUCAAGUUAUAGAGGUCCAAAGUAGGCACCUCGAACUGUUCUUCGUGAAGAACAGCUUUGGUAGCUACUUUGAUGGCUGAUUUAUCCCAGAUCUGAUGUUUGUUUAGAGGUUAUGAUUGUUGGAUCUUGUAGUCUUUUAUUUCCUCUACAAGACCCAAUUUAUAGAUUGUCCAAAUUCGUUAAGAUGAGAGAGUUAUUCACGGUCAAAGUAGGCCACUCGGUUCUGCCUUAUGAAGAUCUGGGUAGGCUCAAGAACACCUAUAGCGACACUUCUGUCACUAUAGGGGGCCUUUAGCGACCGUUUUAAUUAUUUUAAUUUCUGAUUUUCCGAAAAAUGAUUUAAAAAUUAGAAAAAUUAGAUUUUAAUUAUUAAAAAUACCAAAUAAAUUAUGAAAAAUUAUUUUAAAG
RNAcentral lists this long non-coding RNA (1017 nucleotides) under Panax ginseng (ginseng). RNAcentral describes it as "long non-coding RNA (PGIN_LNC014208)". The record is from RNAcentral. Lineage: Eukaryota; Viridiplantae; Streptophyta; Magnoliopsida; Apiales; Araliaceae.